CCUACGGGAGGCAGCAGUGGGGAAUAUUGGGCAAUGGGCGCAAGCCUGACCCAGCAACGCCGCGUGAAGGAAGAAGGCUCUCGGGUUGUAAAAUUCUUUUGUCAGAGACGUAGCAAGUGACGGUACCUGACGAAUAAGCCACGGCUAACUACGUGCCAGCAGCCGCGGUAAUACGUAGGUGGCAGGCGUUAUCCGGAUUUACUGGGUGUACAGGGAGUGUAGGCGGGGAGGCAAGUCAGAUGUGAAAACGACGGGCUCAACCUGUGGAUUGCAUUUGAUACUGGCUUUCUUGAGUUCAGGAGAGGGAGGCGGAAUUCGGGGUGUAGCGGUGAAAUGCGUAGAUAUACGGAGGAACACCAGUGGCGAAGGCGGAUUGCUGAACAGUAACUGACGUUGAGGCGCGAAAGCGUGGGGAGCAAACAGGAUUAGAUACCCCUGUAGUC
RNAcentral lists this ribosomal RNA (443 nucleotides) under uncultured bacterium. RNAcentral describes it as "partial 16S ribosomal RNA". It matches the Rfam family "Bacterial small subunit ribosomal RNA", at positions 338 to 795 of the family's 1533-position model. The record is from RNAcentral.